This 433-nucleotide ribosomal RNA is filed under the name uncultured bacterium. RNAcentral describes it as "partial 16S ribosomal RNA". It matches the Rfam family "Bacterial small subunit ribosomal RNA", at positions 28 to 507 of the family's 1533-position model. The record is from RNAcentral.
AACGAACGCUGGCGGCAUGCCUAACACAUGCAAGUCGAACGAAACCGUCGGGUCUAUGGGCGCACGGGGGCGUGACGCGGGGGGAGCUGCACUUGGGUUCGGAAUAACUCCCCGAAGGGGGUGCUAAUACAGGAUAAGGUCUUCGGACCAACGAGUUAUCGCCUUUGGCUGGGGGCGGGUUGGAUUGGCUGGUUGGUAGGGGAAAAGCAGGCCAAGGGGACGAUGCCGAGCUGGUGGGAGAGGAUGGUCCGCCACACUGGGACUGCGACCCGGCCCAGACGCCUACGGGAGGCAGCAGUGGGGAAUAUUGGACACUGGGCGCAAGUCUGAUCCAGCCAUGCCGCGUGAGUGAUGAAGGCCUUAGGGUUGUAAAGCUCUUUUACCCGGGAUGAUAAUGACAGUACCGGGUGAAUAAGCUCCGGCUAACUACGUG